Molecule: long non-coding RNA, 559 nt
Organism: Cercocebus atys (sooty mangabey)
Lineage: Eukaryota; Metazoa; Chordata; Mammalia; Primates; Cercopithecidae
Source: Ensembl
AACCUGGUGCUGCCCAGCAGAGUGGAAAGAGCAUGUUUUUUUUGCAGUAAGUUCCAACGGCAGCUCCACCAGCCACGUGGGAGGUGUUUGUGUCACACGAUUUUGGUCCACUGUGCUACUCUUAAGAGAAGGAGCUCAUCAUCAAGUCUUUCACUAAACUGUCCCCUCGAGAUUUCCAGGACUCCAGGGAGCCACAGUGAGUACAACUUCAAUACUCUCAACUUCUCCAAAGCCUCUAUUUCCAUUCUCCUCCUUCCUGUCUUUUCUCUUGUUAUCAUGAAAACGCUCAGGCAUGUUCCUUGAACUGUGACAAAUUAGUAGGGGGGCAGACCACACAGUCGCAGAGUCACAUAUCACCCACACUUUCAGUCACCCUCCAAACUGCUGAGUGUCCUAGUAUUGGGAAUGGUGUGAGGUGCUGAGGGGCACAGAGAGGAGGAGACCCCCACAAGGGGCUCGGGUCUCAAAGGGAGGCUCAGUGAAUGCAUGAAUAACUACUAGGGGAGUGUGGAUCUUUGGAGGACAGUCCUGGCUGAGACUCAGGCUCCCUGGAGACAAU